Molecule: ribosomal RNA, 347 nt
Filed under: uncultured bacterium
Lineage: Bacteria
Description: partial 16S ribosomal RNA
Rfam family: Bacterial small subunit ribosomal RNA
Source: RNAcentral
CCUACGGGUGGCAGCAGUGAGGAAUAUUGGUCAAUGGACGAGAGUCUGAACCAGCCAAGUAGCGUGAAGGAUGACUGCCCUAUGGGUGGUAAACUUCGUUUAUAUGGGAAUAAAAUGUUCCACGUGUGGGAUUUUGUAUGUACCAUAUGAAUAAGGAUCGGCUAACUCCGUGCCAGCAGCCGCGGUAAUACGGAGGAUCCGAGCGUUAGCCGGAUUUAUUGGGUUUAAAGGGCGCGUAGGUGGUUUCUUCAGUCAGUUGUUAAAGUUGGCGGCUCAACCGUAAAAUUGCCGUUGAAACUGGCAGUCUUGAGUACAGUAGAGGUGGGCGGAAUUCGUGUUGUAGCGGU